UACGGAGGGUGCGAGCGUUGGUCCGGAAUCACUGGGCGUAAAGGGCGCGUAGGCGGCGCGGAUAGUCGGCUGGUGGAAAGCCCGGAGCUCAACUCCGGGUCGGCCGUGCGAACUGGGGGACUGGAGCUUGUCAGAGGCAGGCGGAAUUCCGGGUGUAGCGGUGGAAUGCGUAGAGAUCCGGAAGAACACCGGUGGCGAAGGCGGCCUGCUGGGACGAGUGCUGACGCUGAGGC
RNAcentral lists this ribosomal RNA (233 nucleotides) under uncultured bacterium. RNAcentral describes it as "partial 16S ribosomal RNA". It matches the Rfam family "Bacterial small subunit ribosomal RNA", at positions 524 to 752 of the family's 1533-position model. The record is from RNAcentral.